RNAcentral lists this ribosomal RNA (468 nucleotides) under uncultured bacterium. RNAcentral describes it as "partial 16S ribosomal RNA". It matches the Rfam family "Bacterial small subunit ribosomal RNA", at positions 28 to 507 of the family's 1533-position model. The record is from RNAcentral.
GAUGAACGCUGGCGGCGUGCUUAACACAUGCAAGUCGAACGGAAAGGCCCUGCUUUUGCGGGGUGCUCGAGUGGCGAACGGGUGAGUAACACGUGAGUAACCCCUCCUUGACUUUGUGAUAAAUCCUGGAAACUGGGGCGAAUACCGGAUAGGAGCUCCUGCUGCAUGGUGGGGGAUGGAAAGUUUCGGCUGUUGGGGCUAGACUCGCGGCUUAUCAGCUGGUUGGUGGGGUAGUGGCUUACGAGGGGUUUGACGGGUAGCCGGCCUGGGAGCGUGACCGGCGUCAUUGGGACUGAGGGAGGGAGCAGUAUGGUAUGGGAGGCAGCGGUGGGAAAUAUUGCACAGUGGGCGGGCGUCUGAGGUAGAAGCGCUGCGAGCGGGAUGACGGCCUUCGAGUUGUGAACCGCUUUCGACGUUGCCGAGGCGGGAGUGACGGUACUGAGUCAAGAAGCCCCGGCUAACUACGUG